RNAcentral lists this ribosomal RNA (492 nucleotides) under uncultured bacterium. Its description in RNAcentral is "partial 16S ribosomal RNA". It matches the Rfam family "Bacterial small subunit ribosomal RNA", at positions 30 to 507 of the family's 1533-position model. The record is from RNAcentral.
AUUGAACGCUGGCGGCAUGCUUUACACAUGCAAGUCGAACGGUAACAGGCCUUCGGGUGCUGACGAGUGGCGAACGGGUGAGUAAUGCAUCGGAACGUACCCAGAGGUGGGGGAUAACGCAGCGAAAGCUGUGCUAAUACCGCAUGUGAUCUGAGGAUGAAAGCGGGGGACCGAGCAGCAAUGUUUGGCCUCGCGCCUUUGGAGCGGCCGAUGUCGGAUUAGCUAGUUGGUGGGGUAAAGGCCUACUAAGGCGACGAUCCGUAGCUGGUCUGAGAGGACGACCAGCCACACUGGGACUGAGACACGGCCCAGACUCCUACGGGAGGCAGCAGUGGGGAAUUUUGGACAAUGGGCGCAAGCCUGAUCCAGCAAUGCCGCGUGCGGGAAGAAGGCCUUCGGGUUGUAAACCGCUUUUGGCAGGAACGAAACGGUGUCCGCUAAUACCGGGCGCUAAUGACGGUACCUGCAGAAUAAGCACCGGCUAACUACGUG